Non-coding RNA from Podarcis lilfordi (Lilford's wall lizard), 76 nucleotides. The record is from the annotation of a GenBank genome assembly. Lineage: Eukaryota; Metazoa; Chordata; Lepidosauria; Squamata; Lacertidae.
UAUUGGUAUGAGCUUUCGUGUGCAUGCACACUUCUUCAGAUAAAUGUGUGCAUGCACACGAAAGCGCAUACCAAUA